AUUGAGUAGCCAUCAGAAAGGAGGAACUAGAUGUAUUCCAGUGAGAGACGUUACCAGGAGGAAGAAACUAUAAAGUUCAUGGUACUCAAGGGGGUCUCUGACCAAAAAAGGAUUAAGAAGAAUUGAGGCAAAAGAUGGAGUCACCCAGCCUGGAGUGUAGUGGUGCCAUCUCAGCUCACUGCAACAUCUACUUCCCAGGUUCAAGCAAUUCUCCUGCCUCAGCCUCCCAAGUAGCUGGAAUUACAGGCACACAACAAGACAUUCUCCAGAUCACCUGGCAUCUAGCUGGGGCCACAAGGUUUUUUUCUGCCAACGGAAUAUGUGCAGAAGUGAUGUAUAUGACCUCAGAGCCCAGCCUCUAAAUAUCCUGUGUCAUGCUCCACAUUCUGUCCAUUCAUCUCUCAGUUAACUAAAUAGAAGUGAUGCAAGGGAGGACUCCAAGGAAGCCCUAGGGAUCAUGAAGCUACAGAAUGGGAGAAUUGCUGUCACCACAGUUCUGGAAGAAGAAUUGUUCAGGAGAACAGCCAUUGGACUAUGGCAUGCCAAAGAAAUCUCUGUUGUGAAACCACAAUUAAAAGUUGUUCUUCCUGCCUCUGCUUCUUGACCAACCCCUGAGUGGCCCUGUAUAGUGUUCUCCCUAGGAAACUGUGGAUUCUACUUCUGGUGAAGAUGACGUGAACAUUGCUGAAAUGGCAACAAAGGAUUCAGAAGAUUACAUCAACUUAGUUUGGCAAAGCAGUGGCAGAGUUUGAGAGGACUGACUCCAAUUUUGAAAGUGGGUAAAAUGAUGUCAAAGAGCAUCACAUGGUGCAGAGAAAUCUUUCAUAAAAGAAUCAACUGAUGUGAUCAACUUCAUGGUUUCUUAUUUUAAGAAAUUGUCAAAAGCACCUUAACCUUCAGCAACUGCUGCCCCAUCAGCCAGGAGCCAUCAACAUCAGGAAGACCCCCCCACCAGGAGAAAGAUUAGGUCUCACUGAAGGCUUGAAUGGUUGUUAGUAUUUUUCAGCUCUAACGUAUUUUUAAAUUAAAGCUUUUACACUGCUGUUUUAAACAUUAUGCUGUUACAUACUUAAUAGACCAUGGCAUAGGGUGAACACAACUUUUAUAUGCAGUGAGAAACUAAAAAAUUCAUAUCAUGUAUUCUAUUGUGAUAUUCACUUUAUUGCAGUGGUCUGGAACUAAGCCCCCAAUAUCUCUGAGGUAUGCCUGUAAUUGAGCAUUCCCAUAAUUAUAAACUGUGAUACAGGCUAUGAAGGAAAAGUGCAACAUGUCAGGAGACUGUGUAACAGAGAUAUCUGGUCUAAUGGGGCGAGACAGUCUGAAAAAAUUGCUUUAAUUGCUGAGAGCUGGAGAAAUAAUAGUUAACCAGGAAAGGGAGAGGAAUCUGGAGGAGGAGCUUCUGGCAGCAGGAAUAGAAUGGCAAAGUCCAAGUUGUGGGAAGGAUAGGGGCCCAUUUAAAGAAUGGAAAGGAAAAUAAAAUAGGAACACAGUACAGGAAGGAGUGAGGGAUAUGAGAAGAAACCAGAGAAAGAAAGGGGCUAAUAUCGAGGUUCUCUACCUUGGCACUGUUGAUUAACAUUUGGGGCUGGAUGAUUCUCUGUUGUGGGGAGUGGCCCUUUGCACAAUUUUAGCAGCACCCUCUGGCCUCUACACACUAGAUG
Homo sapiens (human) is the source of this 1661-nucleotide long non-coding RNA. The record is from Ensembl. Lineage: Eukaryota; Metazoa; Chordata; Mammalia; Primates; Hominidae.